UUUCCAGACUCCUACGGGAGGCAGCAGUGGGGAAUAUUGCACAAUGGGGGGAACCCUGAUGCAGCGACGCCGCGUGGGUGAAGAAGCGCCUCGGCGCGUAAAGCCCUGUCAGCAGGGAAGAAAAUGACGGUACCUGAAGAAGAAGCCCCGGCUAACUACGUGCCAGCAGCCGCGGUAAUACGUAGGGGGCAAGCGUUAUCCGGAUUUACUGGGUGUAAAGGGUGCGUAGGUGGCAUGGCAAGUCAGAAGUGAAAGCCCGGGGCUCAACCCCGCGGACUGCUUUUGAAACUGUCAGGCUGGAGUACAGGAGAGGUAAGCGGAAUUCCUAGUGUAGCGGUGAAAUGCGUAGAUAUUAGGAGGAACACCAGUGGCGAAGGCGGCUUACUGGACUGUAACUGACACUGAGGCACGAAAGCGUGGGGAGCAAACAGGAUUAGAUCCCCGCGUA
Molecule: ribosomal RNA, 448 nt
Filed under: uncultured bacterium
Lineage: Bacteria
Description: bacterial SSU rRNA
Rfam family: Bacterial small subunit ribosomal RNA
Source: RNAcentral